This 230-nucleotide ribosomal RNA is filed under the name uncultured bacterium. Its description in RNAcentral is "partial 16S ribosomal RNA". It matches the Rfam family "Bacterial small subunit ribosomal RNA", at positions 562 to 791 of the family's 1533-position model. The record is from RNAcentral.
AAAGCGUGCGCAGGCGGUUAUAUAAGACAGAUGUGAAAUCCCCGGGCUCAACCUGGGAACUGCAUUUGUGACUGCAUGGCUAGAGUACGGUAGAGGGGGAUGGAAUUCCGCGUGUAGCAGUGAAAUGCGUAGAUAUGCGGAGGAACACCGAUGGCGAAGGCAAUCCCCUGGACCUGUACUGACGCUCAUGCACGAAAGCGUGGGGAGCAAACAGGAUUAGAUACCCUAGU